GAUGAACGCUGGCGGCGUGCCUAAUACAUGCAAGUCGAGCGAACAGACGAGGAGCUUGCUCCUCUGACGUUAGCGGCGGACGGGUGAGUAACACGUGGAUAACCUACCUAUAAGACUGGGAUAACUUCGGGAAACCGGAGCUAAUACCGGAUAAUAUAUUGAACCGCAUGGUUCAAUAGUGAAAGACGGUUUUGCUGUCACUUAUAGAUGGAUCCGCGCCGCAUUAGCUAGUUGGUAAGGUAACGGCUUACCAAGGCAACGAUGCGUAGCCGACCUGAGAGGGUGAUCGGCCACACGGGAACUUGGACACGGUCCAGACGCCUACGGGAGGCAGCAGUAGGGAAUCUUCCGCAAUGGGCGAAAGCUUGACGGAGCAACGCCGCGUGAGUGAUGAAGGUCUUCGGAUCGUAAAACUCUGUUAUUAGGGAAGAACAAAUGUGUAAGUAACUAUGCACGUCUUGACGGUACCUAAUCAGAAAGCCACGGCUAACUACGUG
RNAcentral lists this ribosomal RNA (497 nucleotides) under uncultured bacterium. Its description in RNAcentral is "partial 16S ribosomal RNA". It matches the Rfam family "Bacterial small subunit ribosomal RNA", at positions 28 to 507 of the family's 1533-position model. The record is from RNAcentral.